CAGGAUGAACGCUGGCGGCGUGCCUAAUACAUGCAAGUCGAGCGAACGGACGAGAAGCUUGCUUCUCUGAUGUUAGCGGCGGACGGGUGAGUAACACGUGGAUAACCUACCUAUAAGACUGGGAUAACUUCGGGAAACCGGAGCUAAUACCGGAUAAUAUUUUGAACCGCAUGGUUCAAAAGUGAAAGACGGUCUUGCUGUCACUUAUAGAUGGAUCCGCGCUGCAUUAGCUAGUUGGUAAGGUAACGGCUUACCAAGGCAACGAUGCAUAGCCGACCUGAGAGGGUGAUCGGCCACACUGGAACUGAGACACGGUCCAGACUCCUACGGGAGGCAGCAGUAGGGAAUCUUCCGCAAUGGGCGAAAGCCUGACGGAGCAACGCCGCGUGAGUGAUGAAGGUCUUCGGAUCGUAAAACUCUGUUAUUAGGGAAGAACAUAUGUGUAAGUAACUGUGCACAUCUGACGGUACCUAAUCAGAAAGCCACGG
RNAcentral lists this ribosomal RNA (488 nucleotides) under Staphylococcus aureus. RNAcentral's name for it is "bacterial SSU rRNA". It matches the Rfam family "Bacterial small subunit ribosomal RNA", at positions 25 to 496 of the family's 1533-position model. The record is from RNAcentral. Lineage: Bacteria; Bacillati; Bacillota; Bacilli; Caryophanales; Staphylococcaceae.